This is a long non-coding RNA of Mus musculus (house mouse), 570 nucleotides long. RefSeq annotates it as predicted gene, 30883. The record is from RefSeq and is a predicted model, not a curated record. The transcript is spliced from 2 exons. NCBI's taxonomy places the organism in Eukaryota, Metazoa, Chordata, Mammalia, Rodentia, Muridae.
UUAGGAAUAGAACUCAGGACCUCUGGAAGAGCAGUCAGUGCUCUUAACCGCUGAGCCAUCUCUGCAGUCUGGAAUCCUCUUCUCUUAGAGCAUCACUUGACUAAACUCUUCCUUGCCCAAAGCCUGGCUAUGGCUGUGACUGUGGCACCUUGGCUUCUGCCAGCUCUCUAGUGUCUUUAUCUCACUAACAUAGCCCUCCUCUAUAGCUGCUGACUGUCUAGUUAUUGCUUGCUUCCCUCCACUAGUCUGUGAACACUGGGAAGCAGACCUUCCAAGAACACCUCGCCUGGAGGAGCAGAGAUAAAGAUAACCAAGAAGCUAUUCCUGCCCUUGAGGAACCCACUCUGGUGUGCCUCCUGAAAAAGAUGCCUCCUUUGGCUCCUUCCUGCCUUUGUCACCAAGGCUGUCUUGAGCCUUGGCAUCCCUUGCAGCUCCUCCUACCGACAUCACUGUGUCUGUUCUAGAAUACAAUAAUUACUCAUGGCUUCGUGGUGCAGUGGGUGUGCAUUGACUUUACAAUAAGCCUUUGUUUCUUCCUUAUUCUUAUUACAUCAAAAAUAUUUAUUUUUA